CGCGGAAUGGAGCAGCCUGGUAGCUCGUCGGGCUCAUAACCCGAAGGUCGUCGGUUCAAAUCCGGCUCCCGCAACCA
RNAcentral lists this transfer RNA (77 nucleotides) under Pseudomonas juntendi. RNAcentral describes it as "tRNA-Met". It matches the Rfam family "tRNA". From Rfam's summary of the family: Transfer RNA (tRNA) molecules are approximately 80 nucleotides in length. Lineage: Bacteria; Pseudomonadati; Pseudomonadota; Gammaproteobacteria; Pseudomonadales; Pseudomonadaceae. RNAcentral also lists the same sequence under 2 other names. The record is from RNAcentral.